AUAAUUUAUGAUUAUCUUGGCUUUGACACAAAAGUGCAGAAAGAAAAGAUUGAAACAUAUGAUUAGGGGCAGUAAAAUGGUUAAAAGAAAAUUGUUAACCACUCAUAUUAUCCAUUAAAAAUGGAUUGGAUAAUGAACUUUUUGAAAACGGGUCAAAUAUGGAUAAGAACCAUAUUAUCCAUUUAGAAAAUGGAUAACCAAUGAGUAACCAAUGUGUCUAACUUUUACAUUUGUAAAGCGUCAAAUUGGGGGUUCCUCAAAUGAGUCAUCAUAUCCCAUGAAUGUCGAAACCCGGAACUCCUCUCCGCGGAGGGAGAAAAAGGGGGCGCGACAACAAUAUCUUACGUACAUGACAUUUGUCUACAAGCUUCUAAGAAUAUGAAAUUUUCAUAAAGGUCGGGACAGAGUCCCGCCAUACCAAACAAUACACGUCUAAAUCAUACCAACCAAACAAGCAACUCCGAAGCAAAUGGAGCGCACCAACAUCUUCCGUUGAGCUGAUAGCCUACUUGGAGGGCUCUUGACCUGUCUAUCGGGACCUGCGAGCAUGAAACGUAGCAUCCCCAGGCAAAAGGGAUGCUAGUACGAAUAAUAUAUUGAGUAUGUAAGGCACAUAAAUAAGUACAUAACAGAUAUGAAAGAAACAUAGGGUAAUUGACUCAACCUGUAAGUAUGGAUAACUCUGUAAAUCAUGAAACAUUUUUAGCGUCAUGCAUAUGUGUAUGAAUGUCAUGUCAUGCAUAGGUACAUGUUUCUUAACAUCAUCGUAUCGUAUGGAUCAUGCCAAAAGAAAGAAGGGAUAGUCAUAACAUACCUGGAGUAGGGAAAAAUUCGUACAAUAUUCUUGUAGGAGAAUUCGAUUGCAAGGAAUCUUGUUGCUAAUCAAGUGUUUAGACCAGUACUUCGUUGAAGAUUUCAUAAGAAUUGCCCGUUUUUUGUAGACUUCUUAACUAUUCAUUCCUGAGUUCUAAUUUGUAGGACAUGGCUAAUGUUAUGAUCUGUGUCUUUUUAUUCAAGACAUAGGAAGUGAAGCUUUGUUAAAAUCUUUUGAAAAUGGCUAAUGUUUUUUGAUAUUAGGAAUGCUAGUACUUUGAUUCUAU
This 1100-nucleotide long non-coding RNA is filed under the name Nicotiana tabacum (common tobacco). RNAcentral's name for it is "long non-coding RNA (NTAB_LNC007799)". The record is from RNAcentral. Lineage: Eukaryota; Viridiplantae; Streptophyta; Magnoliopsida; Solanales; Solanaceae.